This 253-nucleotide ribosomal RNA is filed under the name uncultured bacterium. RNAcentral describes it as "partial 16S ribosomal RNA". It matches the Rfam family "Bacterial small subunit ribosomal RNA", at positions 524 to 776 of the family's 1533-position model. The record is from RNAcentral.
UACGUAGGGGGCAAGCGUUGUCCGGAAUCAUUGGGCGUAAAGCGCGUGUAGGCGGCCCGGUAAGUCCGCUGUGAAAGUCGGGGGCUCAACCCUCGAAUGCCGGUGGAUACUGUCGGGCUAGAGUGCGGGAGAGGCGAGUGGAAUUCCUGGUGUAGCGGUGAAAUGCGCAGAUAUCAGGAGGAACACCAAUUGCGAAGGCGGCCUGCUGGGCAGUUGCUGACACUGAGGCGCGACAGCGUGGGGAGCAAACAGG